UAAGUUGGUCUUCGCUUUUGCAGAUAACAGUGAGUGGGAGUUCCAAAAGUAUGGGCACUAGAGAGCUUUCAGGCCGAUACUGCUUGAACCCUCUUACCUUUCUGGUAUGGUGAGAGAAGAAUGCAUAUAUUUCAUUAGCUUUUAUGCUGAUUCAAGCAGUAGUUGCUUUAAUACUUCAGAGUAGAAUUUGGUCAUAAUUUUAUAUGCACUGAGUGUAAUAUGCUAUAUUUUAUUAGAAUUAUCCUUUAAUAUUGUGCUGAAACCUUCCUUGUUCUAUCUCUGGAUUUUGGUACUGAUGAAUGUCUUUUUUUUUUUCAUGUGAAUCAAAUGGAUCCUUUUAAAGCUUUGUUAAAUUCAAAAUCAGAAUUAGAUUAAUGUCUCUAAAGAAAGGAUAAUAUUAUUUAACAAAAUUAAGGGGGAAUUUUGACUUUAUAAUAGAAAGUUAAUAUUUCAAAAAAAUAAAAAAGAUUGAUACUAAUCAAAUUAUAAAAAAAAGAAUUAAAUCAGUAAAAAAUGCGUAGUAUAAGACUUUCUAUAAUGUCUAAGGGAAUUUUAGAAUUUAUGGUGUUUAUGAAUUGAAUUAGACCUAUACCAUUAAUGGUAUAAUAUUAUGCAUGUAUAGUUGCUUAACAUGAAUCUUGAAAUUUAGUCAUCUAGGUUAAAAUAUGUCACAUAAUCAUUGUAUUUUUAUUUUUAGAAAAUUAGUUUUUUUUUUAAUAUUAAAUUUUAGAUUUAACUUUUAGAAAUUUAGUUUUUUUAUUUUUCAAAUAUUAAAUUUUAGAUUUAAAUUUUAGAAGUGUUAAAAUUAUUUUGUUAAAUUUAAGUCCAUUGUGUUAUUUUCUAGUUACAUGGUUAUAAAAGGUUUCAAAUUUUAACCAUUUUUUUUUCAAUUUUGGGAAUAAAAGUAUAAUGUUUAAAUUUAAAAUUUGGAAAGAGUACAGAGGCUUAUACACAUUUUAACUUAUUUUAUAAAUAGUUAAUGCAAUCUCGUUUGGGUUCAGGCUUCGAAUAUAAAAAUUUGAGUCCAACUUAUAUUUAAAUCAGAACUGUUUUUCUCCAAAUUUGAUUUUAUUUUUUUGUACAUAACGAAGGAAAAACUAAUGAAAGUUUUAUAAAUAGUUAAUGCAAUCUCGUUUGGGCUCAGGCUUUGAAUAUAAAAAUUUGAGUUCAACUUAUAUUUAAAUUGGAACUGUUUUUCUCCAAAUUUGUUUUUAUUUUUUUGUACAUAAUGAAGGAAAAACUAAUGAAAGCUUGCGAGGCACAUGUCGCCCGUUGCAAUGCUUCUCUUCUUAGUUUGUGGUGUCUAAUGGUGACGAAUUGGUGGAGAUUUUAGAUCUCUUUGAAUGCUGGUUUGAAGUUUCUACCCUGCUUUGGCACAUCCAAGAAUGAUGUUGAUCAAUUUUUUUUUGUCACUGUCCAACAGCCUCUAGGAAAAAAUAUUGUGAGACUUAAGGAACAAAGGAAUAACCUAGAGGAUAGGAAUUCUAAUUAGUAGCAGACAUAAAAUUUGGGAAGCAGCUGCUGGUUGAGUUUUAGUUUGACUGAUAUAAGUAUUGUUGUUAAUGUAAGAGGACGUAAAUUUAAAUGUGUUGAAACGCGCUAUUCUCCUACUUAUGGGUUGAGAAAGAAUCAUGAUUAGCAAUUAUAAUUUUAAUAUCUUUAUCCAAAAUAUGCUAAACUCUUGGAGUUGAAGUGAAUAGAAACAAAAAAUAAAAGAAAGCAGGAAAUAGAGGUGGGAAUAAAGGGGGCAAAAACGUGAAAUUGAAAGGAAGACCAUAUUUUUCAACAACCAAUGCUUUUUGUCGGGCUUUAGGCAUUAAAAAAAGGCAUCUCUCCAUCCAUGUGCACCUUCUCAGACCUCUAAAUUCUUCUACCCCAAAUGGCAAUGUGUUAUUUUAAUUUCAAGAAUUUUCAAAUCCAGUAACAUAUUUGAAUUUUGUUCUACAUGAUUUUAUCCUAUUCUUCUUAUAUUUAGAAUUUAACUUUUAUUUUUUUAAAAUUAUUUUUUUAUUUUUCAGAUUUCAAAAUCUAUAAUCAACUGUUAACAUCAUUAAAUUUAUUGGUGUGAUAUUUUUAAAAAAAAAUUACUUAAUAGCUAUGUAUUACAAAAAUAAUAUUGUAACGAACCUAAAUUUUAUAAAAAAUAAUUUUAAUAAUUAGAUUUAAAUUUUAAAUCUCAAAAGGCAGCCAAAAUAUCUUCACAAACUCUCCAAAAAUCUUAAAUUGUUACAAACAAUUCUAAAAACUCCGUAUCAACAACCACUAAUAUCUGUAAAAGUAGAUUCGAAUUAAAAAUUAUAUCCAAAUAUAUCAUUCAAAUUGUGUCCCAACCCACACUCAUGGCUGGAUAUCAUUAUGUUUUUACUUAUUAUUAAUAAUUAUAAUCACACUUUUAAGCCUAGUGCUCACUUUUCCCCCAUAAAUCAUGAACUAAAAUAUUGCAAUCCAUUGAUCUUCAAUCUUCAGUGUUGCCCAUCCAUCAUUUAUAUAUGUUAAUGCAGUUUUUGUCUACGUUUUUACUCUGGUUCUCUUUCAUCAUUCAUCUCUUACUUUGUAUUAUUUUGUAAAAUAAAUAAAUAAUUUUUGAUAAUUUCACAGCUAAAAUUGAUAGGUGAAACUAAUUCAGUUAAAUUCUACGCUAAUCAUGAGUUUUAAAGCUACUUCAUACUUAAAGGCGAGAUCAAAUCCUCAAUCAUUGAUUGUACGAGAAACAACUGCCAUUUCACCUAACCAAGUGAUUAACAUCUAGAUUAUUUUAUCAAUAUCUUAGUUCUUUCUUGUGCUAAACAGAUCAGCCUCCAUGAUCAUUAUUAUUGUUAUUAUUAUUACUAUUAUUAUUAUUUAAUCGUUAAUGUAAAUGCAAAAUAAAUCUUAAUUAGUAUCUAAUGAUAUCAAUUAAAUAGUUAAUAUUUUUAUGAUUCAUUAAAUUAUCUGCUUACUUUCUCUAUUUAAAAAUUUUAGUUUAAUUUUUUUUUGUUAAUUUUUGCUUAAUAAGGUAUGAUUUAAGGGUGAGGUGAAAAUUCUUUUUAAAUGGAUUAGAAUUUAAUUAUAAUGUUUAGAGUGUUAAAAUAUAAAUUUAAUAUUAAAUUAACUUAAAGAUUUUAUAAUUUUAAAAGAGCUAAAUUAUGUCAUUGUCUCUUGCAUUUAACUUCUAAUUGUGUUGAUACCACGAAUUAAUGUAACACUACUUCAAUUGUGAUAUUAUUUAAAUAUUAUUUUUAUACAAUGUGACAAAUAUUAAUACAAGUGCGUUUAGGGUUUAUGUGCCUCAAUAGCUAUAUUUUUCUUUUCGAAUUUUGAAAUUUCAAUCCUAACUCAAAUGAUAAUAAUUAAAUUUGCUAAGCUCAAUUUUGCUAUUAGUCUCAACUCUCGUAUUAUGUGUAAAUUGUGACUUUAGUCUCCAUAAUCUAAAUUUGAUAAUUUUGAGUCUAUAAUUUUCAAAUUUUAAAAUUUAAGUCAUUUAAAUGCAUUAGCAAUAAUGCAACUUUUUAUAUGUGAAAAUAACAAGUUAAAAUGAUAUUAUAUAUAUACUAGUAUAUUUUUCGCAUAAGAUUUUAAAAAGAACAAAUUUAACGUCUUAGUUUGAAUUGAAAUUUCAAAAUUAGAACGAAUUUAGUAUAGAAAAUUAAAAUCCAAGGACUAAUACAAGAAUUUGACAUAUUUUAAUAUAAAAAAUUAGAUAUAACGGAAGCUUAACAAGAUGGCAUUAUGGUAAAUAAGGGAAAAGAUUAAGGCCAAACAGAAAUAUGAGUGCGUUAUUUAACCGGCACAAAAGAGUCUAACCUGCACUUCACUGUAAUCAACAGCCAUGGCCGCCAUGGCUUCUUCUUCUUCUUCUUCUUCUUUUUCUUCUUCUUCUUCUUCUUCUUCUUCAUCUUCUUCCUCGUGUUAUGUUUGAAAAUCACUGCCAAAAAAACAUACAUUGUCCAAAUGAAACAUCAAGAUAAGCCACUUUCUUUCGAAACCCACCAUGAUUGGCACAGUUCGAGUUUACAAUCACUCACCGAUUCCCCACCCGAGUCACUUCUUUAUUCAUAUACUGAAGCUUUUAAUGGCUUCGCUGCUUCUCUAAAUGAAGAACAAGCUGAGUCUCUUAACAAAUCGGAAUCCAUUCUGGGUGUUUAUGAAGAUACUGUUUACACUCUCCAUACU
RNAcentral lists this long non-coding RNA (4152 nucleotides) under Gossypium barbadense (sea-island cotton). RNAcentral describes it as "long non-coding RNA (GBAR_LNC007822)". Lineage: Eukaryota; Viridiplantae; Streptophyta; Magnoliopsida; Malvales; Malvaceae. The record is from RNAcentral.